RNAcentral lists this long non-coding RNA (449 nucleotides) under Prunus dulcis (almond). RNAcentral describes it as "sRNA ncRNA". Lineage: Eukaryota; Viridiplantae; Streptophyta; Magnoliopsida; Rosales; Rosaceae. The record is from RNAcentral.
CACAAAGACAGCCACCAAACCCCUUCAACCCGAACUCCACCCCACAAAUUUCCAGACCCCAUCAAGUCCAGCUAUGAUCUUUUACAAAUCAAAAACUCAAAUUUCCAAAAUGCACCUACUAUGAGAUCGUACGGCCUUUGCCAUUAUCGAACAAUGGUUCCUACCACUUUGAGAUCAUACAACAUGGAUCUAGUCUGAAUACAUCAAGAACCCCAAGAAGACCCACGAUUUCAAGAUCUUGUCGGCUAGUCAUGGUGGUUUUCUCUCUUUCUUCUAUUUCCUCUCUUCUUUUUCUGUAAAUUCUCUAAGUUCUCUAUUGUUAUCAAUGGUGGCGAGGCAAUGGUAUUGAGUUUGGUUUGACUGGGAAUGUCGAGGUGGGGGGCUUGGUGCGGCUUAGGUAUUUGGCCUUGAGGUGUGGCUCGGGGAAGAGAGAGAGAGGUAUGGUGGUG